This 497-nucleotide ribosomal RNA is filed under the name uncultured bacterium. RNAcentral describes it as "partial 16S ribosomal RNA". It matches the Rfam family "Bacterial small subunit ribosomal RNA", at positions 28 to 507 of the family's 1533-position model. The record is from RNAcentral.
GAUGAACGCUGGCGGCGUGCCUAAUACAUGCAAGUCGAGCGAACAGAUGAGGAGCUUGCUCCUCUGACGUUAGCGGCGGACGGGUGAGUAACACGUGGAUAACCUACCUAUAAGACUGGGAUAACUUCGGGAACCCGGAGCUAAUACCGGAUAAUAUAUUGAACCGCAUGGUCCAAUAGUGAAAGACGGUUUUGCUGUCACUUAUAGAUGGAUCCGCGCCGCAUUAGCUAGUUGGUAAGGUAACGGCUUACCAAGGAAACGAUGCGUAGCCGACCUGAGAGGGUGAUCGGCCACACUGGAACUGAGACACGGUCCAGACUCCUACGGGAGGCAGCAGUAGGGAAUCUUCCGCAAUGGGCGAAAGCCUGACGGAGCAACGCCGCGUGAGUGAUGAAGGUCUUCGGAUCGUAAAACUCUGUUAUUAGGGAAGAACAAAUGUGUAAGUAACUAUGCACGUCUUGACGGUACCUAAUCAGAAAGCCACGGCUAACUACGUG